Schizosaccharomyces pombe (fission yeast) is the source of this 1391-nucleotide non-coding RNA. The record is from the annotation of a GenBank genome assembly. Lineage: Eukaryota; Fungi; Ascomycota; Schizosaccharomycetes; Schizosaccharomycetales; Schizosaccharomycetaceae.
GUUUUGUAUAAUAGUAUUUUUGGUUUUAAAAUUGAAUAAAAGCGGGGACUGUUCGCCGUCCGAUAAGUUAUUCCGGUAUGUCAAAUCCCAAAAGUUAACAUCAGUAUCUGCACCUCCGGAAACCAGAAUUUUGUUAUCAUAUGAAAAAGAAAGAGAAUAAACGAUACUAGAGUGUUUAACGAAUGAAACGUGCUGAUUACUACUUCUGAGAUCCCACACUUUUAUUAUGCCCGAUUCAUCAGCAGAUGCCAACGAUAAGCCAUCAGCAGACAUACACAAUGCAGAAACAGGAGAAUGAUGGGCAUUAAACACGCGAACUGUUCCACCAGUGCGAACGUCCCACAUUCUAGUUGUAUGAUCACUAGAUCCUGUAGCAAGAUAAGCUGCAUUCGGAUGAAAUGAAACACACUAAAUCAAGGUUAGUUACUGCUCAUAAGAAUUGUUAGUUAAAUAAAGUUCCUUACAUCCACAUCAUUUUGAUGUCCAACAAAUACUCUCAAAGGUGCUGCAUGCUCAACAUCCCAUAGACGUGCUGUUUGGUCGUGCGAGGCUGUUGCAAAAUAAUAGCCGAAAGGGGAAAACUGAACGUCCCAAAUCGGCGCAUUAUGACCAGCAUAUUUGACAAUAGUGGACUUAGUAUCCUUGGACCACAAACGAGUAAAGCCAUCCUCAGAGCAUGACAGUAUAAACUCUUUUUGAGGAGAGAUGCUCACUCCAAAAACUGGUCUCGUAUGUCCAAUUAAAGAGGACUUUUGUAAAGGCUCAUUUUGACUUCCCACUAAUGGUUGCGGACCAUUGUUAGUAGAACUGUACAAAUGAAUUGAAGAGUCUGCGCAACCCAGAGCGAACAUAGAGGCGUCAUCAGAGAAUGCAGCACAAUUUACAGCGGAAAGUGUAUUGUGCAUGGUAUACAUGAAAACACUAGGAUCCGUAGCAUUUUUUCCGAGUAUUAAAGAAUUCUGUUCGCUUUCCAGUAAAGAAACAAAAUAGUCUAUGUCCUUCAUUUUGGUUGGAGGUAAUGGGGGAUCAGAUGGUGAUUCUAGAGUUGAUUCGUUGAUUAGAUUUUCUUUUUCAGUCAGCAAUUCGACAAGGUUCUUUGCAGGAUGCAAUAUUUUAUUCAGAGCUUCAUUUCUUCCCUCCACGUCUUUAUCUUUUACUUCUAACAAGUUUUUUAAAGUUGUGACAACUUCUUCUGACAAGGGACGUAAUCCAAGUUGUAUGCUUUGCUUGUUGUAAUCAAGAAGCUGUUCGGAAUGGCCAGGAAUUCCUUCUUGCUCACUAAUUAUUGUCUGUUCAUUUUUAGCUUCGUCCAUUUCAUAGACCGCUUGCACAUUAGGGUCCUCCUUGCCCUCGACUUGAGGCAUAGUAAUUUUUAUAUCAAUGUACUGAUU